CAAAAUCAAUAGCCACCCCACCCAACCCACAAACCCACCUAGGCCCACCACCCAAAACACUGGCUAACAUUUUUAGGUUGGGGCGACCUUGGAGAAAAACAGAUCCUCCAAAAAUAGGGCCAAAUCCCCUAACCGAGAGCAACCUCUCAACGUGCUAACAGCACCCAGACCCAGUAAAUCUGACCAAUGAACCAAGCUACCCCAGGGAUAACAGCGCAAUCUCCUCCAAGAGCCCCUAUCGACGAGGAGGUUUACGACCUCGAUGUUGGAUCAGGACAUCCUAGUGGUGCAGCCGCUACUAAGGGUUCGUGUCAACGAUAACCGC
This 325-nucleotide ribosomal RNA is filed under the name Pyrrhura picta. RNAcentral's name for it is "partial large subunit ribosomal RNA". It matches the Rfam family "Bacterial large subunit ribosomal RNA", at positions 2188 to 2594 of the family's 2925-position model. The record is from RNAcentral. Lineage: Eukaryota; Metazoa; Chordata; Aves; Psittaciformes; Psittacidae.